CCCGGGCGAAGGGCGGGGGGGCAUGGCCGCAACCCGACCAGGUAUGUUUGCAUCCAAGUAGGAAUGCAAAGCAUGUGCUGGGCAGGCACUGGGACAGCAUGGAUCAAGUCUGGGCCAGAACUCUGAAGGAAUCCUUCCUGUGACAGCAAGAUGAGCAGAGACAGCUGGUUAGAAGAACAACAACAACAAAAACACAUCAUCAUUCCUGCUUUGGCUCCAAAAAAUCUUGGACUUGCUGUCAAGGAAGAAAGCUAUGUAUGUAAGGAGCCAAGAAAGAGACAAAUAUUAUUGAAUUUGGUAGCAUUUUAGUGAAUGUGCUGGAAAUAACUUAAGUAGGAAGAAAAGCUGGAUGCGCUCCAUUGUUUAUUAAAAGAAUGCCUCCUCUUAUUUCCACAGGGACCUAUAGCCCAUAUUGUCAUUAACACAUUUACGAGAUGUAUAUUUAAAAUAUGUUGCUUCACUCAUCAAUCUUACGGGCUCUUCUUGUAAAGAAGAGUUACAGCACAUAAAAAUAUGUACUGCCACAUAAAUAUAGUAGCUGCAAGCUAGAGGUGCCAACUGUGAAUACAGCUCCUUCAAUCAAGGAA
This is a long non-coding RNA of Centrocercus urophasianus (Greater sage-grouse), 587 nucleotides long. RefSeq lists it as uncharacterized. The transcript is spliced from 3 exons. The record is from RefSeq and is a predicted model, not a curated record. Lineage: Eukaryota; Metazoa; Chordata; Aves; Galliformes; Phasianidae.